Molecule: small nucleolar RNA, 122 nt
Filed under: Echinops telfairi (small Madagascar hedgehog)
Lineage: Eukaryota; Metazoa; Chordata; Mammalia; Afrosoricida; Tenrecidae
Description: Small nucleolar RNA SNORA61 (ENSETEG00000025836.1)
Source: RNAcentral
AGCCUCCAGACUCCUUACCCCUCAAAUCUAAAGAUUGGUCUGAGUGGCUACAAAGGGAAGGGAAGGAAAACUGAAGUGGACUUGGAGUCUUUCAUAACCAUACAUAUUCAUUUCAAACAUAU